UACGUAGGGUGCAAGCGUUGUCCGGAAUUAUUGGGCGUAAAGAGCUCGUAGGCGGUUUGUCGCGUCGAAUGUGAAAACCCGGGGCUCAACCCCGGGCCUGCAUUCGAUACGGGCAGACUAGAGUUCGGUAGGGGAGUCUGGAAUUCCUGGUGUAGCGGUGAAAUGCGCAGAUAUCAGGAGGAACACCGAUGGCGAAGGCAGGUCUCUGGGCCAUAACUGACGCUGAGAAGCGAAAGCAUGGGGAGCGAACAGG
RNAcentral lists this ribosomal RNA (253 nucleotides) under uncultured bacterium. RNAcentral describes it as "partial 16S ribosomal RNA". It matches the Rfam family "Bacterial small subunit ribosomal RNA", at positions 524 to 776 of the family's 1533-position model. The record is from RNAcentral.